RNAcentral lists this ribosomal RNA (481 nucleotides) under uncultured bacterium. RNAcentral's name for it is "partial 16S ribosomal RNA". It matches the Rfam family "Bacterial small subunit ribosomal RNA", at positions 30 to 507 of the family's 1533-position model. The record is from RNAcentral.
AUUGAACGCUGGCGGCAGGCCUAACACAUGCAAGUCGAGCGGAUGAAGGGAGCUUGCUCCUGGAUUCAGCGGCGGACGGGUGAGUAAUGCCUAGGAAUCUGCCUGGUGGGGGAUAAUGUCCGGCGACGGGCGCUACUACUGCAUCCGUCCUGCUGGGGAAGGUGGGGGGUCUUCUUACCUCACCCCAUCAUAUGAUCCUAGGUCGGAUUAGCUAGUUGGUGGGGUAAAGGCCUACCAAGGCGACGAUCCGUAACUGGUCUGAGAGGAUGAUCAGUCACACUGGAACUGAGACACGGUCCAGACUCCUACGGGAGGCAGCAGUGGGGAAUAUUGGACAAUGGGCGAAAGCCUGAUCCAGCCAUGCCGCGUGUGUGAAGAAGGUCUUCGGAUUGUAAAGCACUUUAAGUUGGGAGGAAGGGCAGUAAGUUAAUACCUUGCUGUUUUGACGUUACCAACAGAAUAAGCACCGGCUAACUUCGUG